UACAGAGGGUGCAAGCGUUAAUCGGAUUUACUGGGCGUAAAGCGUGUGUAGGUGGUUGGAAAAGUCGGUUGUGAAAUCCCUGGGCUUAACCUGGGAACUGCUUCCGAUACUUUUCAACUAGAAUUCGGUAGAGGGAGGCGGAACUCCAGGUGUAGCGGUGAAAUGCGUAGAUAUCUGGAAGAACACCAAUGGCGAAGGCAACCUCCUGGGCCUGAAUUGACACUGAGACACGAAAGCGUGGGGAUCAAACAGG
This 253-nucleotide ribosomal RNA is filed under the name uncultured Alkanibacter sp. RNAcentral describes it as "partial 16S ribosomal RNA". It matches the Rfam family "Bacterial small subunit ribosomal RNA", at positions 524 to 776 of the family's 1533-position model. Lineage: Bacteria; Pseudomonadati; Pseudomonadota; Gammaproteobacteria; Nevskiales; Nevskiaceae. The record is from RNAcentral.